Molecule: non-coding RNA, 45 nt
Filed under: Trichobilharzia regenti
Lineage: Eukaryota; Metazoa; Platyhelminthes; Trematoda; Strigeidida; Schistosomatidae
Source: RNAcentral
ACUCAGAUGAUGAGUUCCAAAUUGGACGAAAUAUGCGUCCUGAAU